AUGAAGCCCAAUAAGCAUGCCUCAAGACUACCAACAGGUCCAUGUCAUCUACACGGCGGCCAUCUUGCCCGGUCCAUCUUCACGGCGGGCAUCUUGCGUCCCGAUGAUACGGCGUGGACUACUGCGGAAAAACGAGUGGGUCUGAACCAAGGCUGCCAUCUGAGUGCUGCAUAUCACGAUGGCAAUAUCCUAGUGUGCAUUAGCAUGCAUUUCUGGUUUGUGCUCAUGCCGGACUUCGAAGGCAAAGGUGGCGCGAGAGGAGGGAAACUCGAAAUGAGGAGUGAUGCUAGGGAUGAAAUGAAACAUUAUAGCUACGUCUUCAAAUCACGCAAUGAGCUAAUGGGUCUUGCACUGCAGGAUGAAUUAGUGAAUACCCUCGCAUUUCGUUCUUUCCAAAUGUUCCACCACACAAGAGCGAUAAUGGACCGCCAAGUCUUUGCCUUGUCCUUGGUCAUCGCCGAAUUGGAGCGUUGCCACCAGCUAGACUGGGACGACUAUGGCUGCAUGGGGCACAACCCGAUUAGCGCACCAGCGGUGACUAUGCAUACCCUCGUAAGGGCAAAUGGCGGCAAGAAGAUGCGUUGGAUGCCGAGGGACGGCCAGAGUUUGAGGGACCAUGUCCUGUUUCUUGGGUCACCUUUGAGCUUCACCGAUGAUGCCACACAUCUAGGUGUGGACGGCGGGUGCGCCUACUUUGUCUUCAAGGGAUGCGUGUUUAGAUACAACCUUAUGAACGAUGAGGCUAAACUUAUGGAGCAGCUGAGUCCCAAAUGGGGUUCCGACAGGCCACAUGUGUGGCUCCAGCCCUAUCCACCAGCCAUUGCUCCAAUAUACGAAAUUAUAAAAAGGGUCAAGGCUUCAACCAAGAAGGAAGCGAAGAAAGAAAAUAGGCAAUUUAGUGGCUUGAACCAAGGUUUUGGUUACCGAAUGGGGCAUUUUUACCGAGGGGGGCGGUAA
Molecule: ribosomal RNA, 957 nt
Filed under: Triticum aestivum (bread wheat)
Lineage: Eukaryota; Viridiplantae; Streptophyta; Magnoliopsida; Poales; Poaceae
Description: partial small subunit ribosomal RNA
Source: RNAcentral